AGCUCCAAUAGCGUAUAUUAAAGUUGCUGCAGUUAAAAAGCUCGUAGUUGCAUUUCCGAGGCAAGGGAUUAGUCCGACCUUUGGUGGGUAUUUAAUCCUCUUGCCUCGUCCUUGAGUGGUGCUUCUUGGUAUUAAGUUAUCGAGGAGAUAGCCGCUCAUCGUUUACUGUGAGAAAAUUAGAGUGUUCAAAGCAGGCUUAUGCCGUUGAAUAUAUUAGCAUGGAAUAAUAAGAUAGGACCUCGGUACUAUUUUGUUGGUUUGAGAACCAAGGUAAUGAUGAAUAGGGACAGUUGGGGGUAUUCGUAUUCAGUUGUCAGAGGUGAAAUUCUUAGAUUUACGGAAGACGAACUACUGCGACAGCAUUUUCCAAGGAUGUUUUCA
This 381-nucleotide ribosomal RNA is filed under the name uncultured marine Chaetocerotaceae. Its description in RNAcentral is "SSU rRNA". It matches the Rfam family "Eukaryotic small subunit ribosomal RNA", at positions 587 to 972 of the family's 1831-position model. The record is from RNAcentral. Lineage: Eukaryota; Bacillariophyta; Thalassiosirophyceae; Chaetocerotales; Chaetocerotaceae.